Molecule: small nuclear RNA, 119 nt
Filed under: Zootermopsis nevadensis
Lineage: Eukaryota; Metazoa; Arthropoda; Insecta; Blattodea; Termopsidae
Description: U5 spliceosomal RNA
Rfam family: U5 spliceosomal RNA
About the family: U5 RNA is a component of both types of known spliceosome. The precise function of this molecule is unknown, though it is known that the 5' loop is required for splice site selection and p220 binding, and that both the 3' stem-loop and the Sm site are important for Sm protein binding and cap methylation.
Source: Rfam by way of RNAcentral
UUACUCUGGUUUCCCUUCAAUACGCAUAAAUCUUUCGCCUUUUACUAAAGAUUUCCGUGGAGGGGAACAUAUGAUGAGUCUUUAAAUAAUUUUUUGUUGUGCCCGGCGAAAGCUGGGCC